Pyrus x bretschneideri (Chinese white pear) is the source of this 1067-nucleotide long non-coding RNA. RefSeq lists it as uncharacterized. The transcript has 2 exons. NCBI's taxonomy places the organism in Eukaryota, Viridiplantae, Streptophyta, Magnoliopsida, Rosales, Rosaceae. The record is from RefSeq and is a predicted model, not a curated record.
AUAAGCCGACUUAAUAGCUUCAUUCUUCAUUUCCAAUCCAUGAGUGCACUCCGUCGUCAUUUCAAACCCUAACACAAAACCGCUGCUCUCUAGCCAUUCCAAAAUCUUCCAAUGGUCUUGGAUUUGUCGAACUCAAAAACAAAUACCAACCGUGCCUCCAUAGCUGGAUUUCUAUCAUUUAUUCCCAAAUCUCCGUUAUGCUGCAAAUCGAAGCUCCAAUCCGUCGAAUCAAUGUCCCAGUGCACACCAAGGUAAAUAUCUCUUUUUUUCUUACAGAUUUCAUGACCAGAAGUUGCAUGAACUCCUUUCUGAACUUGAUGCAUGGGCUCAUUGAUAUGACGAAAUUCUCUAAUCUGAUACUUGUGUGUGCUGUGCCUGCAAGUUCAACCCACAAGUGAUGCAGAGACCCAAAAAUUCGUAGAUCCUCAUGCCCUCGAAAAAUGUAGCAUGCCGGAUAGACCUGCCCAGAGUUGCUUUAAAUUUGAUGGGCUAUGUAUGUGCAAUGUCAUGUGAAUUUCCAGAUUCUGAUUUGUUAUGAACAACCCCUUGCAACACGUCAGUUAUGAUGAAUUCCGGCAGCUUGGUUGGUUUCUUUGCAGCCUCUUGAUUCGGCCAAAGCAAACAUUGUGGGAAAAUUUCGUGUGGCAUAUAAGCAUGGGUAGCAAAUGAUUCCGUGGGAAUUUCAAGAUCAGCAUGUGCUUUUUCCUCCAUUGGGCACGAGUAACUGGCAGAUUGCUCCUCGGUACCUGUACCAAUCUCCUCUUGAUCAUUAAAGCUCUUCCUACAGUUUAAUGCUUGAAUAAAAAAAUCCUUGCUUGGUUAUUUCAAUGUACAACUCAGUUGAUUCCAACAAUUUAGAGAGCUUGUCCUUUACCGGAAGCUCCUGUGGCACAUUAAACUACUCAAAAUAGUGCUCAAGUUGCCUUUGCAAGCUUAGGGUGUAGAACUCUGAAUAUGGAUUGCUCCAAUUUCUUUUUGAGUUGUUUCUCAUAUUGGUAUGCUCUUGGACAUAAUCUGGAAAAUAUUCCUUCUGAGGACAUUGCAAAAUAUCAUGGGUCUUCAAACAA